This 497-nucleotide ribosomal RNA is filed under the name uncultured bacterium. RNAcentral describes it as "partial 16S ribosomal RNA". It matches the Rfam family "Bacterial small subunit ribosomal RNA", at positions 28 to 507 of the family's 1533-position model. The record is from RNAcentral.
GAUGAACGCUGGCGGCGUGCCUAAUACAUGCAAGUCGAGCGAACAGACGAGGAGCUUGCUCCUCUGAUGUUAGCGGCGGACGGGUGAGUAACACGUGGAUAACCUACCUAUAAGACUGGGAUAACUUCGGGAAACCGGAGCUAAUACCUGAUAACAUGUUGAACCGCAUGGUUCAACAGUGAAAGACGGUCUUGCUGUCACUUAUAGAUGGAUCCGCGCCGCAUUAGCUAGAUGGUAAGGUAACGGCUUACCAAGGCAACGAUGCGUAGACGACCUGCGAGGGUGAUCGGCCACACUGGAACAGAGACACGGUCCAGACUCCUACGGGAGGCAGCAGUAGGGAAUCUUCCGCAAUGGGCGAAAGCCUGACGGAGCAACGCCGCGUGAGUGAAGAAGGUCUUCGGAUCGUAAAACUCUGUUAUUAGAGAAGAACAAAUGUGUAAGUAACUAUGCACGUCUUGACGGUACCUAAUCAGAAAGCCACGGCUAACUACGGG